Molecule: long non-coding RNA, 1387 nt
Filed under: Ananas comosus (pineapple)
Lineage: Eukaryota; Viridiplantae; Streptophyta; Magnoliopsida; Poales; Bromeliaceae
Description: long non-coding RNA (ACOM_LNC022563)
Source: RNAcentral
UAUACUAUCAAUAGUACCAAGCCCUUAGUACUAUUGAGUUUUCGGCCGUUGGAUAAAAGGAUGUACGGUUAGGAUGAUAGUGGUCCCCGGUUAAAUUGAUAGUGGUCCCCUAGGGUUGAGUGGGUGGUUGGUUUAAUAGUAUAAUCCAACGGAUGAAAAUGAUCAAAGGGUGGAUCUAACGAUAGAAAACUCAAUAGUACUAAGGACUUGCUACUAUUGAUAGUAUAGUAGCCGGACUAUAUAUAUAUAUAUAUAUAUAUAUAGUUGAGCUAAAAUACUAUUAGUAGCAAAUAAACUUUAUUGCCACUCAUUUAUUUUCGAUGAUGGAGCCUCCGAAUCGACGAUCGGCACUGUUGAACAUAAUCUAUACUAUUUUAAGCAUCUAGAAACCAAAUUUUUUGUUUUUCUGAUAUUGUUCUCUACUCAACCAAGAGGACACAAAAAUAAACAGUUAAAAAUGAAUAUCUUUUAAAAAGUGAUGAUAGGAACCUUAUAAUAUGGACCAAGGGUAUAGAUUUUGUUUUAAAUUGUUUAAAGAAAUUUCUAACUAAAAUUCAAUUGAUUUGGUAUCUUUACACCGUUAAAUGAGAAAACAUUUCAUAUUGACCAUUAAAAUUACAAAAUUUGAAACCCUUUAACUAUUAGGUCAAUGAUAUCGAAAAGAUUUGAAAUUUAAUUUUUAAAUAUUUUAAGUAGUAUAGAUCAUGUUGAACAGUACCGAUCGUCGAUUUGGAGACUCCAUCAUAAAAAAAUAAAUAGGUGGCAACGAAGCUUAUUUGCUACUGAUACCAUUCCAACUCAGCUUUCUAUAUGUAUAUAUUUCUUUUUCUUCGUAACUUUGAAAAGUAUAUUUUACAUUCUUAAUUUUUUUAAAAUAUUUUAAGAAGAAAUAUGGCAUUAAUGGAGAGAACGAAAUGACGAAAUUACCUUUAUACUUAUUUUAGCGAAAAAAUAAUUUUUUAAUAUAUUUAUAUUAUUUUGAAGAAUAUUUUCAGUAUAAAUUAUAUGAAAUAACGGAAUAGCAAGGAAAUCUUUACGGAGGGGGACUAAGUGUGUCAGUUUGAAAUUUUUAAUAAAAUAAAAUAUAGGUGUUUAAAAAUUAGAGAGAAAAUUGAAAAGCAGGUAUUUACAGAAUUUUUUUGUAUAUGAUUUAACAGAAAGUUAAUAUUGGUGCCGAUGGAAAGAGAAAAAUGAAAUCAAAGGGUACUAAAAUGAUACAUUUUAAACUAUAGGGUAGUAAAGUGAAAAGUUUGAAACCACAGUGGUGGUAUUUGAAGUUUAUCCUAUUUUGGUUCAGCUCGAUUUUCAUAAUUUGUUUUCAAAAUUAACUAAACUGAAUUAAAAAUAUGAACCGAACCGAACCGAACCGAACCGAAAUAAUUUCAUU